This 460-nucleotide ribosomal RNA is filed under the name uncultured bacterium. Its description in RNAcentral is "partial 16S ribosomal RNA". It matches the Rfam family "Bacterial small subunit ribosomal RNA", at positions 338 to 795 of the family's 1533-position model. The record is from RNAcentral.
CCUACGGGUGGCAGCAGUGAGGAAUAUUUGUCAAUGGACGAGAGCCUGAACCAGCCAAGUAGCGUGAAGGAUGACUGCCCUAUGGAUUGUAAACCUCUUUUAUGUGGGAACAAAAUAUUCCACGUGUGCCAUUUUGUGUGUACCAUAUUAACAAGGAUCGGCUAACUCCGUGCCAGCAGCCGCGGUAAGACGGAGGAUGCGAGCGUUAUCCGGAUUUAUUGGGUUUAAAGGGAGCGUAGGGUGUUUGUUAAGUCAGGUGUGAAAGUCUGUGGCUCAACCGUAACACUGCAGUUGAAACUGGCAGUCUAGAGUAAAGUAGAGGGAGGCGGAAUUCGCGGUGUAGCGGUGAAAUGCUUAGAGAUCGCGAAGAACUCCGAUUGCGAAGGCAGCUCCCUGGACAACAACUGACGCUGAGGCACGAAAGUGUGGGUAUCGAACAGGAUUAGAUACCCGGGUAGUC